This 649-nucleotide ribosomal RNA is filed under the name uncultured Microbacterium sp. RNAcentral's name for it is "bacterial SSU rRNA". It matches the Rfam family "Bacterial small subunit ribosomal RNA", at positions 117 to 795 of the family's 1533-position model. Lineage: Bacteria; Bacillati; Actinomycetota; Actinomycetes; Micrococcales; Microbacteriaceae. The record is from RNAcentral.
GUGAGCAAUCUGCUCCUGACUCUGGGAUAACAGCUGGAAACAGCUGCUAAUACCGGAUACGAGUUGCGAAGGCAUCUUCAGCAGCUGGAAAGAAUUUCGGUCAGGGAUGAGCUCGCGGCCUAUCAGCUUGUUGGUGAGGUAAUGGCUCACCAAGGCGUCGACGGGUAGCCGGCCUGAGAGGGUGACCGGCCACACUGGGACUGAGACACGGCCCAGACUCCUACGGGAGGCAGCAGUGGGGGAUAUUGCACAAUGGGCGAAAGCCUGAUGCAGCAACGCCGCGUGAGGGACGACGGCCUUCGGGUUGUAAACCUCUUUUAGCAAGGAAGAAGCGAAAGUGACGGUACUUGCAGAAAAAUCGCCGGCUAACUACGUGCCAGCAGCCGUGGUAAUACGUAGGGCGCAAGCGUUAUCCGGAAUUAUUGGGCGUAAAGAGCUCGUAGGCGGUUUGUCGCGUCUGCUGUGAAAACCCGAGGCUCAACCUCGGGCCUGCAGUGGGUACGGGCAGACUAGAGUGCGGUAGGGGAGAUUGGAACUCCUGGUGUAGCGGUGGAAUGCGCAGAUAUCAGGAAGAACACCGAUGGCUAAGGCAGAUCUCUGGGCCGUAACUGACGCUGAGGAGCGAAUGGGAUUAGAUACCCCAGUAGUC